UAUCAAUGCCAAUAGUCUCUAAAUCUGGGU
Molecule: non-coding RNA, 30 nt
Filed under: Mus musculus (house mouse)
Lineage: Eukaryota; Metazoa; Chordata; Mammalia; Rodentia; Muridae
Source: RNAcentral